GAAUUUAAAUUAUUAUUAAAAUUUUUAAUUAAAUUUUAUUUUAUCAAAAAUAUUUUAUGUUUAAUUAUUUAACGAAAAAAUUUUUUUUAUUAUAGUUUAAAGUAUUGUGAAAGAAUUAAUUUAAUUAUUUUAAAGAAGAAUUAAAUUUUUGUACCUUGUGUAUCAGGGUUAAUUAAAUAAAUUUUUAAAAUUAAAUAUUCUCGAAUUUAAAAGAGCUAAUCUAUUAUUUAUUUUAUUGUUAAAUAAAUAUUUAUAAUAAUAGAAUAGAAAUGAAACGUUAUUCGUUUUUAAAUAUAUCUAGUUUUUAAAGAAAUGAAUUUAAUUUAUUUAUUAAUAAUUAAAAUUUUAAUUUUUUAAUCUUUUAUUAUUAAUAAGAAAUUUUUUUAGGGAUAAGCUUAAAAAGAGAUUGUUAUAAUAAAUUUAAUAUUAAAUAAAUUAUAGGAUUAGAAAUUUCCAUAAGUAAAAAUUUGUUAUAAUUAAUUAUUUUAAUUUUAAUAUUUAUAUUUUAUUUAAAUUUUUUAUUUAAAUAUAAGUUUUAAUUUAAAAAAUUUAGCAAUAAUGAUUAAAUUAGUAUAAGUUUAUGUAUUUUUAUAUUUUUAUAUAAAGGUUAGUUUAAGGAAUUCGGCAAAUUUAUUUUUCACCUGUUUAAUAAAAACAUGUCCUUUUGAUUAUAAUUUAAGGUCUAAUCUGCCCACUGAAUUUUAAAUGGCCGCGGUAUUUUGACCGUGCAAAGGUAGCAUAAUCAUUAGUUUCUUAAUUAGAAGCUGGAAUGAAUGAUUUGAUGAAAAAAUAACUGUCUCAAAUUAAUUUAAUUAGAAUUUUAUUUUUAAGUUAAAAAGCUUAAAUGUAAUUAAAAGACGAGAAGACCCUAUAGAGUUUAAUUUAAUUUUAAUUUAUUAAAUUAUAGAUUAUUUUUUUUUUAUUUUGAAAUUAAAUUUUGUUGGGGUGAUGAAAAAAUUUAAAUAACUUUUUUUUAAUUAUAAC
Molecule: ribosomal RNA, 984 nt
Filed under: Opilo sp. 1 NLG-2013
Lineage: Eukaryota; Metazoa; Arthropoda; Insecta; Coleoptera; Cleridae
Description: partial 16S ribosomal RNA
Source: RNAcentral